UACGUAGGGGGCAAGCGUUGUCCGGAUUCACUGGGCGUAAAGCGCGUGUAGGCGGCGCGUCAAGUCGGGUGUGAAAGCCCGGGGCUCAACCCCGGGAUGCCGCUCGAAACUGGCGGGCUUGAGGACGGAAGAGGGAGUGGAAUCCUGGUGGUAGCGGUGAAAUGCGUAGAGAUCAGGAGGAACACCCGUGGCGAAGGCGG
This 200-nucleotide ribosomal RNA is filed under the name uncultured bacterium. RNAcentral describes it as "partial 16S ribosomal RNA". It matches the Rfam family "Bacterial small subunit ribosomal RNA", at positions 524 to 724 of the family's 1533-position model. The record is from RNAcentral.